UUAAAUCCUAUAUUUUAGAUCAAUCCUAAUAAAAUCAUAAUCAAACUUUAAUAAAACUCUAAUAAAACCUUAGUCAAAUUUUAAUCAAAUUGUAAUCAAAUCUUAGUCAAAUCUUAAUCAAAUCUUAGUUAAAUUCUAAUAAAAUCCUAAAUCCUAGCAAAAUCCUAAAUAAAUCUUGAUCAAAUCUUAGAUCCUGAAUCAAUCCUAAUCAAUCCUUAAUCAAAUCCUAAAUCUUAAAUAAAUUCUAAAUAAAUCUUAUAAUAGAUUAAAAAUUCAAUAAUUAAAAAUUAAUCCAUUGAAUUUGAUUUAAAAUUUAUAUACCUUGAAAAAACUAAGUUAGCAACAAGC
This 348-nucleotide long non-coding RNA is filed under the name Physcomitrium patens. Its description in RNAcentral is "long non-coding RNA (PPAT_LNC005386)". The record is from RNAcentral. Lineage: Eukaryota; Viridiplantae; Streptophyta; Bryopsida; Funariales; Funariaceae.